GAACGAAGGCUUCGGCCUUAGUGGCGCACGGGUGCGUAACGCGUGGGAAUCUGCCCUUGGGUUCGGAAUAACAGUGAGAAAUUACUGCUAAUACCGGAUGAUGACUUCGGUCCAAAGAUUUAUCGCCCAAGGAUGAGCCCGCGUAAGAUUAGCUAGUUGGUGAGGUAAAGGCUCACCAAGGCGACGAUCUUUAGCUGGUCUGAGAGGAUGAUCAGCCACACUGGGACUGGGACACGGCCCAGACUCCUACGGGAGGCAGCAGUGGGGAAUAUUGGACAAUGGGCGAAAGCCUGAUCCAGCAAUGCCGCGUGAGUGAUGAAGGCCUUAGGGUUGUAAAGCUCUUUUACCAGGGAUGAUAAUGACAGUACCUGGAGAAUAAGCUCCGGCUAACUCCGUG
This 397-nucleotide ribosomal RNA is filed under the name uncultured bacterium. RNAcentral's name for it is "bacterial SSU rRNA". It matches the Rfam family "Bacterial small subunit ribosomal RNA", at positions 64 to 507 of the family's 1533-position model. The record is from RNAcentral.